Molecule: ribosomal RNA, 1471 nt
Filed under: uncultured Bordetella sp.
Lineage: Bacteria; Pseudomonadati; Pseudomonadota; Betaproteobacteria; Burkholderiales; Alcaligenaceae
Description: partial 16S-23S ribosomal RNA intergenic spacer
Rfam family: Bacterial small subunit ribosomal RNA
Source: RNAcentral
AGUUCGAUCAUGGCUCAGAUUGAACGCUGGCGGGAUAAGCCACAUGCAAGUCGAACGGCGCACGGACUUCGGUCUGCGUGGCGAGUGGCGAACGGGUGAGUAAUGUAUCGGAACGUGCCUAGUAGCGGGGAUAACGAUGCUGAAAGCGUAGCUAAUACCGCAUACACCCUUCGGGGGAAAGCGGGGGACCUUCGCCUCAGCACUAUUAGAGCGGCCGAUAUCGAUUGGCUAGUUGUGUAACGGCUCACCAAGGGCGACGAUCCGUAGCUGGUUUGAGAGGACGACCAGCCACAUCACGGACUGGAGACACGGCCCAGACUCCUACGGAGGCAGCAGUGGGGAAUUUUGACAAUGGGGAAACUUCGAUCCAGCCAUCCCGCGUGUGCGAUGAAGGCCUUCGUAUUGUAAAGCACUUUUGGCAGGAAAGAAACGGCACGGGAUAAUACCCCGUGCAACUGACGGUACCCGCAGAAUAAGCACCGGCUAAAUCACAAACAGCAGCCGCGGUAAUGUAAUGUAGGGUGCAAGCGUUAAUUGGAAAUUUGUCGGCGUAAAGCGUGCGCAGGCGGUUCGAAAAAGAAAGAUGUAAACCCCAGAGCUUAACUUUGGAACUGCAUUUUUAACUACCGAGCUAGAGUGUGUCAGAGGGAUGGAAUUCCGUGUAGCAGUGAAAUGCGUAGAUAUGCGGAGGAACACCGAUGGCGAAGGCAGCCUCCUGGGAUAACACUGACGCUCAUGCACGAAAGCGUGGGGAGCAAACAGGAUUGAUACCCUGGUAGUCCACGCCCUAAACGAUGUCAACUAGCUGCUGGGGCCUGGUAGCAGCUAACGCGUGAAGUUGACCGCCUGGGGAGUACGGUCGCAAGAUUAAAACUCAAAGGAAUUGACGGGGACUCCGCACAAGCUGCGGAUGAUGUGGAUUAAUUCGAUGCAACGCGAAAACCCACUCUACCUCUUGACAUGUCUGGGUAAAUCCCGAAGAGAGCCUAGGAGUGCUCGCAAGAGAACCGGAACACAGGUGCUGCAUGGCUGUCGUCAGCUCGUGUCGAGAUGCUGGGUUAAGUCCCGCAACGAGCGCAACCCUUGUCAUUAGUUGGCGUUACGAAAGGGCACCUCCAUCGAGACUGCCGGUGACAAACCGGGGAAGGUGGGGAUGACGUCAAGUCCUCAUGGCCCUUAUGGGUAGGGCUUCACACGUCAUACAAUGGUCGGGACAGAGGGUCGCCAACCCGCGAGGGGGAGCCGUAAUCCCAGAAACCCGAUCGUCCGGAUCGCAGCCUGCAACUCGACUGCGUGAAGUCGGAAUCGCUAGUAAUCGCGGAUCAGCAUGUCGUGUGAAUACGUUCCCGGGUCUUGUACACACUGCCCGUCACACAUGGGAGUGGGUUUUACCAGAAGUAGUUAGCCUAACCGUAAGGAGGGCGAUUACCACGGUAGGAUUCAUGCCUGGGGUGAAGUCGCAACAAGGUAA